GGGUGAGUAACACGUGGAUAAUCUACCUGAUGGACAGGGAUAACAUCUCGAAAGAGGUGCUAAUACCAGAUAAGCCCACAGCAUCUACGGAUGCAGCGGGAAAAGGGGGCCUCUUCAUGAAAGCUUCCACCAACAGAUGAGUCCGCGGUCCAUUAGCUAGUUGGUAGGGUAAUGGCCUACCAAGGCCACGAUGGAUAGCUGGUUUGAGAGAAUGAUCAGCCACACUGGAACUGAGACACGGUCCAGACUCCUACGGGAGGCAGCAGUGGGGAAUAUUGCGCAAUGGGGGAAACCUUGACGCAGCAACGCCGCGUGAGUGAUGAAGGUUUUCGGAUCGUAAAGCUCUGUCAAGAGGGAAGAAACCCCGAUAGGCUAAUACCUUGUCGGAUUGACGGUACCUCUAAAGGAAGCACCGGCUAACUCCGUGCCAGCAGCCGCGGUAAUACGGAGGGUGCGAGCGUUGUUCGGAAUUAUUGGGCGUAAAGCGCGUGCAGGCGGUUGUUUAAGUCUGAUGUGAAAGCCCCGGGCUCAACCUGGGAAGUGCAUUGGAAACUGGGCAACUUGAGUACGGGAGAGGGAAGUGGAAUUUCGAGUGUAGGGGUGAAAUCCGUAGAUAUUCGAAGGAACACCAGUGGCGAAGGCGGCUUCCUGGACCGAUACUGGCGCUGAGACGCGAAAGCGUGGGGAGCGAACAGGAUUAGAUACCCUGGUAGUCCACGCCGUAAACGCUGGGUACUAGGUGUCGCGGGUAUUGACCCCUGCGGUGCCGAAGCUAACGCAUUAAGUACCCCGCUUGGGGAGUACGGUCGCAAGACUAAAACUCAAAGGAA
Molecule: ribosomal RNA, 830 nt
Filed under: uncultured bacterium
Lineage: Bacteria
Description: bacterial SSU rRNA
Rfam family: Bacterial small subunit ribosomal RNA
Source: RNAcentral